RNAcentral lists this ribosomal RNA (112 nucleotides) under Chloroflexota bacterium. Lineage: Bacteria; Bacillati; Chloroflexota. The record is from RNAcentral.
GAGCGUGGCUAUAGCGGGCGGGGCACCACCCGGUCCCAUCCCGAACCCGGUAGUGAAAACCCCCAGCACCAAUGGUACUGCUACCAAGCGGUAGAGUAGGCCGCCGCGCUCC